UUGUAUUGAUAUUAUUAUGCGGUAUGGGU
RNAcentral lists this small RNA (29 nucleotides) under Bombyx mori (domestic silkworm). Its description in RNAcentral is "ovarian small RNA-38090". The record is from RNAcentral. Lineage: Eukaryota; Metazoa; Arthropoda; Insecta; Lepidoptera; Bombycidae.